GAUGAACGCUAGCGGGAGGCCUAAUACAUGCAAGUCGAGCGGUAGAGUGACUUCGGUUGCUUGAGAGCGGCGUACGGGUGAGUAACGCGUACACAAUCUACCUUCAAGAGGGGAAUAGCCCUGGGAAACUGGGAUUAAUGCCCCAUAGCAUUAUGUUACGGCAUCGUGAUAUAAUUAAAGCUGAGGUGCUUGGAGAUGAGUGUGCGUCUGAUUAGCUAGUUGGUAGGGUAACGGCCUACCAAGGCUACGAUCAGUAGGGGGCGUGAGAGCGUGGACCCCCACACGGGUACUGAGACACGGACCCGACUCCUACGGGAGGCAGCAGUAAGGAAUAUUGGUCAAUGGAGGAAACUCUGAACCAGCCAUCCCGCGUGUAGGAAGAAGGCCCUCUGGGUUGUAAACUACUUUUAUCUGGGAAGAAAAGCCUGUAUUUAUGCGGGUCUGACGGUACCAGAGGAAUAAGCACCGGCUAACUCCGUG
Molecule: ribosomal RNA, 480 nt
Filed under: uncultured organism
Description: bacterial SSU rRNA
Rfam family: Bacterial small subunit ribosomal RNA
Source: RNAcentral